Molecule: ribosomal RNA, 253 nt
Filed under: uncultured bacterium
Lineage: Bacteria
Description: partial 16S ribosomal RNA
Rfam family: Bacterial small subunit ribosomal RNA
Source: RNAcentral
UACGAAGGGGGCUAGCGUUGUUCGGAAUUACUGGGCGUAAAGCGCACGUAGGCGGCCUUUCAAGUCGGACGUGAAAGCCCCGGGCUUAACCCGGGAAUUGCGUUUGAUACUGUUGGGCUUGAGACCGGGAGAGGAUAGCGGAAUUCCCAGUGUAGAGGUGAAAUUCGUAGAUAUUGGGAAGAACACCAGUGGCGAAGGCGGCUAUCUGGACCGGUACUGACGCUGAGGUGCGAAAGCGUGGGGAGCAAACAGG